GGGCAUGAGGUCAAUCUGGCUACGACAUUUGUCACCCCAUUGACUGCCAGGGUUGAUUCUGCUGAUCUGGCUGGCUAAGCGGGUGACCCCUUCGCCCCUCACCGCUCCAUGUGCAUCCCUCCAAGGCUGCGUGCACCGUUGAAGAGGACAACCUUCCCUGAUAGAGGAGGACCAUCCUUUGGUUGAGGAUAUACGAGGAGCUGCGCUCCCCUGCUGGAACCUCCAAACAAGCUCUCAAGAAGGAAGUCUGGAGUUAAAUGUGGCUUUGGGGAUGAUGACAGGGGACACGGUCUCUCCUAGAGUGUCGUGAGCCUGGUACCCCUU
RNAcentral lists this small nuclear RNA (324 nucleotides) under Mustela putorius furo (domestic ferret). Its description in RNAcentral is "7SK RNA (ENSMPUG00000021518.1)". It matches the Rfam family "7SK RNA". Rfam says of the family: 7SK was discovered as an abundant small nuclear RNA in the mid-70s but a possible function has only recently been suggested. Two independent studies have found that 7SK RNA binds the CDK9/cyclin T complex (known as elongation factor P-TEFb). The record is from Rfam by way of RNAcentral. Lineage: Eukaryota; Metazoa; Chordata; Mammalia; Carnivora; Mustelidae.